Molecule: long non-coding RNA, 10403 nt
Organism: Danio rerio (zebrafish)
Lineage: Eukaryota; Metazoa; Chordata; Actinopteri; Cypriniformes; Danionidae
Source: Ensembl
UUGUUCCAUACAGAGACUGUUGCCUGCAAUCCUCCUCGCAGAAGAAGAAGGAGCAAAGACAAACCUCCUCAGAUGAGGAUUGUUCUCCUGGGGAAAAGUGUAUUAGAAAACAGCCGUGUGGGAAACUUGAUCUUGGGCAGAUCAGCGUUUGACAGUGAAGCUCCUCCAGAUGUUGUGGAGAGAGUGGGAGGAAGACUGAAGAACAGACACGUGACGCUCAUCAACAGUCCUCAACUGCUCAACACACACAUCUCAGAUGAUCAGAUCACACAGAUGGUCAGAGAGUGUGUGAGUUUGUCUGAUCCAGGACCUCAUGUGGUGCUUCUGCUCCUCCAACAUCAGCAGUGUUCAGCAGAAGAUCAAGAGCGUGUGGAGAAGCUGCAGGACUCUUUCUCUGAGCGCCUUCUUCAACACACCCUGGUGCUCAGCACACAAGAGCCCACUGAACCCAAUCAGAUCCUGCAGAAGAUCAUCCAGAAGUGCUCCAACAGACACUUCAGUCUUCAGACAAGCAGCUCUGCUGAUCAUCUUCUGCAGGCCUUUGAGGACAUCGAGCGGAGCAAUGAGGGACGACACCUGAUUUCUGCUCAAUAUGAAGCUUAUAAGUAUUUCUCAGUGGAACAACAGGCCACACAAAGAGGUGAGUGUGAGAUUAUCUGAUGUUUCUUGUGAUGUUUACACUGUUUAAUCUUCUUCUGCAGUUUCAGACUGUGAGAGGCUGAAUGUGUUGGUGUGUGGGAGCGACGGCUCACUGAAAUCCUCCAUCUCAGAGCUGAUCCUGCAACACACACACAGAAGAUCAGAAAGUGUGAGGACAGACGUGGAUCUUCAUGGUCGUCUUAUCAAUGUGCUGGAGCUUCCAGCUCUGUUCAACACUGGGCUCUCAGAGGAGGAAGUGAUGCGCCAGACUCUCCGCUGUGUGUCUCGCUGUCAUCCUGGAGUUCAUGCUUUCCUCCUCAUUAUUCCUGACGCUCCACUGACUGAUGAAGAUAAAGCAGAAAUGGAGGAGAUCCAGAAGAUCUUGAGCUCCAGAAUCAACAAACACAUCAUGAUCCUCAUCAUGCAGAAUUCAGAUCAUCAGACAGCAGAACUCAAUGAAGAAACACAGACUGUCAUUCAGAGUUUUGGAGGAAGACAUCGUUACUUUAAUCCUGAAACACAAGUGUCCACAUUGAUGGAGAACAUUGAGAAGAUGCUGGAGGAAAACAGAGGAGGCUUUUACUCCACAGAGACAUUUCUGGAGGUGCAGAUGGAAAAACUGAUGAAAUAUGAAGAGAAGAAGAAAACUAAUUCAUUGGACAUACACUUACUACCAAAAGGUUCAGCUGAGAGUGAAAAAGAACUGAGGAUUGUUCUUCUGGGAAAAACUGGAGUUGGUAAAAGUGCAACAGGAAACACAAUAUUAAGAAGAGACGCAUUUAAAGCAGAAGAAUCAUUUGAGUCAGUGUCCAGUGAGAGUGAAGGAAAGUCAACUAAAAUCAAUGGCAGACGCAUCACUGUGAUCGACACUCCAGGACUGUUUGAUACUGAACUCAGUAAUGAGGAGAUCAAGAGAGAAAUCAGACACUGCAUCUCCAUGAUUCUGCCUGGACCACAUGUGUUUCUCCUGCUGAUUCCACUGGGACAAAGAUUCACUAAAGAAGAGGAAUUAUCAGUGAAGAUCAUCCAGGAGACGUUUGGUGAACACUCUCUAAUGUUCACAAUAGUGCUCUUUACCAGAGGAGACUUCCUGAAGAAGAAAACCAUUGAUCAGUGUUUGGGGAAACCUGGAUCUGUGGUCAGAAAACUGCUUAAAACUUGUGGAAACAGAUUCCAUGUGUUCAACAAUAAUGAGCCUGAAGACCGAACACAAGUGUCUGAACUACUGGAGAAGAUAGACAACAUGGUGAAGGCAAACGGAGGAAGCUUCUACUCAUGUAAGAUGUUCAGAGAAAUGGAGAGAGAAAAACAAGAACAGCAGACGAGGAUCCUGAUGGACAGAGUCAGAGAAACAGAAGAAAAGAUGAAGAAACUAGAGGAUGAGAAAGACAGAAUAAAGAUAAUGAUGGAGGAAAAACAAGAAAAUCAUGAUACACUUAGACAUGAAGUAGAAGAAAUGAGGAAUGAAAAAGAGAAACUUCAGAUCAAGUAUGAGACAGAGACAGACAGACUGAUGAAGAGAAUAGAGACUGAGAGGAAGAAAAGAGAAGAAGAGUAUACAGAAAGAGAAGAGAAAUAUAAAACACAAAUAAAAGAGAAAGAGACUGAGGUGAAGAAAGAGCGAGAGACGUUUAGAUGUGAAAUAGAGGAAAUCAGGAGAGAAAAAAAGAAACUUCAGAUCCAACAUGAGGCAGAAACAGACAGACUGAUGAAGAGAAUAGAGGAUGAACGAGAGAUUCAUGAAACGGAGAAAAAGAGAAGAGAAGAUGAAUUUAAUGAGAGAGAAGAACAAUACAAAAAAGAAAUAAAAGCAAAGAAAGAGAGUGAGCAAAAGAUGUGUGAGGAGAUGAGGAGAGAACAAGAGGAAUGUGAAAAACUGAAACAAGAAGAAAAUAAAAGACGAGUAGGAGAGGAUGAGGAAAGAAGAGAGAAAGAACAGAGAGAAUUUUAUGAGAAACUGGAAAAAGAGAAAGAAGAUAUUCAGUCUAAACAUGAAGAAGAAGAAAAAAAGAUGAAGAUUCAGAUAGAGCAAAUUAAUAGAGAAAGAGAAGAACUGAUGAAGAAACAUGAAGAAGAGAAAGAGAGAAUGAAGAUGAUGAUGGAGGAGGAACGACAGAAACAGGAGAAAGAGAAGAAGAGCAUAGAAGAACUGAUGAAGAAACAUGAAGAAGACAAAGAGAGAAUGAAGAUAAAGAUGGAGGAGGAACGACAGAGUCAAGAGAAAGAGAGAAAGACAAGAGAAGAAGAACUCAAAGGAGAAAUAAGAGAAGAAGAGAAACAUCAGAGAGAGAUAAAAGAGGACAUGAAGAGAGAACGAGAGACAUUUAGACAUGAAAUAGAGGAAAUGAGGAAAGAAAAAGAGACAAUAAAAACUGAAUAUGAGACAGAAAUAGACCGACUGAACAAUAGAAUAGAAAAUGAAAAGAAGAAAAGAAUUGAAGAAUUUAUAAAAACAGAAGAACAAUAUAAAACACAAAUCAAAGCAAAAGAGGAGACUGAGAGAGAGAUGAAAGAAAAGAUGAAGAGAGAACGAGAGGAAUGGGAGAAACUAAACCAAGAGAAAAACAAAAGAACAGAAAAAGAUUGGCAUGAAUUUAAUGGAAAAUUGAAACAAGAAAGAAAUAGACUGGAACGAGAGAAAGACGAUCUUCAGUCUAAACAUGAAGAAGAAGAAAACAAGAUGAAGAUCCAGAUAGAACAAAUAAACAGAGAAAGAGAAGAACUGAUGAAGAGACACGAAGAAGAGAAAGAGAAAAUGAAGAUAAUGAUGGAGGAAGAGCGACAGAAUCAGGAGAAAGAGAGAAAGAGAAGAGAAGAAGAACUGAAAGAAGAAAUAAGAGAAGAAGAGAAACAUCAGAGAGAGAUGAAAGAGGAGAUGAAGAGAGAACAAGAGACAUUUAGACAUGAAAUAGAGGAAAUGAGGAAAGAAAAAGAGACAAUAAAAAUUGAACAUGAGACAGAAACAGACAGACUGAUGAAGAGACUAGAGGAUGAACGAGAGAAUUAUGAAUUAAAGAGAAAGAGAAGAGAAGAAGAGUUUAAUCAGAGAGCAGACCAAUAUAAAAGAGAAAUUAAAAAGGCAGAAGAGAGUGAAGAAAAGAUGCAGGAGGAGAUAAAUAAAGAAUGGGGGAAAAUGGAGAAACUGAAACAAGAAGAAAAGAAGAGAAGAGUAGAGGAUGAGAAAAGAAGAGAAAAAGAACAGAGAGAAUUUAAUGAGAAACUGAAAGGAGAGAAAUACAGAAUGGAGAGAGAGAAAGAAGAUCUUCAGUCUAAACAUGAAGAAGAAAAAAAUAAGAUGAAGAUCCAGAUAGAACAAAUGAACAGAGAAAGUGAAGAACUGAUGAAGAAACACGAAGAAGAGAAAGAGAGAAUGAAGAUGAUGAUGGAGGAAGAGCGACAGAGUCAGGAUAAGGAGAUAAAGAAAAGAGAAGAUGAAUAUACAGUAAGAGAAACACAAUAUAAAACACAGAUAAUCCAAGAACGAAAGGAAUGGGAAAAACAGAUACAAGAGGAAAAGAAGAGAAGAGAAGAAGAUGAAAAAAGAAAAACGAAAGAAAAACAGAUAUCUGAUGAACAGAUGCAGAGACUGAAGAGUGAAGUUGAGGGGAAAAUCAAAGAGAUAGAGAGAAUAGAAAAAGAAAAACAAGAACAACUAGAGGAUUCAGAGAAGAGACUGAAAGAAGGAAGAAAGAUGAGAGAAGAUCAACAAAAGACAAAUGAAGAUAAUCUGAAACUGCUGGAAGAACAGCAUGAAGAAGAACUGAAGAGGAGACGAGUGGAGUGGAGAUGGGACUAUCAUCUAUUUCACAGACUUCAUCUUGAUUUUCGAAACCUCAAAAAACUUAGGUCAGAUGCUCUUCACAUAACUAAACAUUCAUUAAGGUCUCGUUAUUUGUGUGCUGAAGAGGAGCUGAUUCAGACAUUCAUACAGAAACUACUGAUGAUGGACUAUAGAGCACGAUACAUUAGAGUCAAAGAGACCAGAGAACAUCAAAUCCAGCAGAGAGAAGGUAACAGCGGUCAUAUGUUAUCUUUGUCUUCAUAUAACACAACAUCAACUCAGUCUGAGCGAAUUCACCCGAUGGAUGUUCAGAUGGCUGUGUUUCAUUGUGCUGAUGGUUUCCUGAGACAGCUGAUGGUCACUAAACUGUCCCAGUGUCAGUUCGCUCUGCCUCUGCUUGUUCCUGAUAUAUUCACAAAACAGAUUGAGUUUCCUCUCUGGACAUUCAGACAAAUCACCAAGAGCUGGAAGAUCAGAAACACCAACAAUGAAACCAUCAGUCAAACCCAGCCCAUCUACAAGGCACAAACUCCAAUGGUGUUUUUCUUCAGGUUUGGCUCUGUGUCUUCAUCCAAGUCUCAGCUGAUGAACAGUCUGAUCAAUGACAAACACAACACGUUCUUCCACAGGAACUGCCCAGGCAGCAGCAGAUCCAGAGUCCUGAUGGAUGGAGUGGUGGAGAUCGCCUGGUUCUGCCCUUCUGGAUCAGAUGAUGAUAAAUUCAUUGACUUUGUGGCCUUCUGUAAUCUACAUGGAGAUGCAGGAGACCAUGAGAAACAGUGGAGGAUCCUUACUGACAUGGCCUCAGUCAAUGUGGUUAUUUUACCACAAAUAGACAGGAACGACAAGCAUGCAGAAACAAUCCAAAGCUUGUAUAAGAACAGUAAGCCACUCAUUUGCCUUUUAACUGAGAAUGAAAAUGUAAUCAGGACCAAAAAAGGAAACUAUACAAUUGGCCUGAAAGGCAGAAAUCAGUCAGAUGUGUAUGAAGAUCUCAGAGGAGCUAUAAGCGAUUGUAUCUCAGAAUCAUCUCCCACUUUCAGACUUGAAGAUGUGUCCAAACACUCAGACAUCAGAGUAGAUGAGGAAGAUGAUGAAGACUGCAGGAGAGGAAGAGCAGCAGCACAACAGAUGAUCAGUUUACUGAAGGAGAAAAUACUGACAGAAAUCAAAGAAUCAUUUCUGCCUCAUCAGGGGAAACUGUGGCAUCAGUGGAGUCAGAAGAACAAAGAACUACAUCGACUUCAAGGAGAAAUAGAAAUCAGCAAAAAAAAAACAGAAUUAAUGCUAAUUCGUGCAAAGCAACACAAAUCUAACAUCAGUGAGUUUAUGAAGCUCUUUGUUAAAGAGAUGAACUCGUACAUAAAUUCUGAACAUAAGAUGUUUUUUCUUAAAUGGGUCGCAAUCCUCCUGGAUAAACAUACAUCAGCUGACCUUUCAUAUCUGUAUCACAAAUAUGAUGAAAAGUGGUCAGAAAUCUCAAAAUUGAAACUGAACCAUGACAAAAGACAACUUAACACUAAACAAACUGAACUUGAGAGAAUAUCUGAGGAUCUUCAAGCUGCAACCUUUGGUCUGGAGCACAUCAUGAGGGAGAUCGGUCAGAUCUAUGAAUCAUGUUCAUCUGUGAAGGAGAACAAGAAAGAUCUGCCGGUUCACUUCUCUUCUCUCCCGAGUCUCGCAGCAGAGAUGAUGAUCUCUGGGUUUCCACUGGAGCUGAUGGAUGGAGAUGCUGCUCAUGUUCCUCUGGUCUGGAUCUCUGCUGUUUUUGAUCAACUCAUCCAGAAACUGGGAGACCGCACCAGAGUCUUUGUGCUGUCAGUUUUAGGGAUCCAGAGCUCUGGGAAAUCCACCAUGCUGAACGCCAUGUUUGGACUCCAGUUUGCCGUCAGUGCUGGCAGAACAACCAGAGGAGCUUUCAUGCAGCUGGUCAAAGUGUCUGAGGAGAUGAAAACACGGAUGAACUGUGACUAUAUUCUGGUUGUUGAUACUGAGGGUCUUCGUGCUCCAGAACUGGCUGGAAGAUCAACAAGAGAUCAUGACAAUGAAUUGGCCACAUUUGUUGUUGGUCUUGCAAAUCUGACACUGGUCAAUAUCUUUGGGGAAAACCCGUCUGAGAUGCAGGACGUUCUUCAGAUUGUUGUUCAGGCCUUCAUGAGGAUGAAGAAGGUCAGACUUAAUCCCAGUUGUGUGUUUGUGCAUCAGAAUGUUUCAGACAUCACAGCUGGACAGAGACACAUAGAGGGAAGACGACUGCAGGAGAAACUGGAUGAGAUGACAAUACUUGUUGCUAAAGAAGAAGACUGUGAUGCUCAAUGUUUCAGUGAUGUCAUUAGAUUUGAUGUUCAGAAUGAUGUGAAGUAUUUUGCUCAGCUCUGGGAGGGCAGUCCACCAAUGGCUCCACCCAAUCCAAACUACUCAGAUAAUAUUCAAGAACUGAAGGAAACUAUUUCAUUUAAAUACUCAAAAUUGGAUGGAAUGAUGGUGGAUACAUUAAAGGAUCAUAUAAAAAAUCUCUGGAAGCUUUUAAUGAAUGAAAAGUUUGUCAUCAAAGCUUUUACUGAGUCUAAAAAUAUUCAGGAAAACAAUGAAAGAGAUCAAAAUAAUAAAUUUAAUGAGAUUGUUAGGCUGCAGGACAUCAAAGAACUUUCCUUUAAACUCAAAGACAAAGUAGAUGACAAAGAAACACUGAAGAAAGAGUUUAAUUUGUUCUGGCAACAGUGUGAUAAAGACAUUGGGUACAGAAGAAAGAAAGACGAGUACUAUAGUAUUUUCUGGAAAAACUGUCAUGAAGUAAAAUCAGCUAUAGAGUUCAUCUGUCAGAAACUGAAAAAGCCCAUUGAGCAGAGCGUCUACAAGAAAACUGCCAGAGAUUUAGCAGAUGAAAUGAGAUCAAACUGUGAAUCACUGAAUGGAAACAGAUCAAAUCUGGAGAAACACAUCCUGAAGACACUGGCAGAAGAGGAGGACUUUGACAAAUACAUGAACUACAUUCAUAAUCCCAAAGAUCACUUCAAGAGUUUCAUCAGAGAUGAAGUCAGUCGCUACAUCAGAGAUAAGUUCAGCAUCAGUGUUUUACCCAAGAUGGAGGAGAACAUUAAACUCCUGCAGCAGAAGAUCAUGAACGCAGCACAUCAAUCUACUGAACAUGUUCAAGUCAACAGUGGAGAUGUUGGUUUGUGGUUGAAGAGUUUCACACAGCAGCUCUCAGAUCAGCUGAUCUUCUCUAAAGAAGACCUCAGUGGAGUCAAACAUGAUGAUGUUGAUGAUUUCAGACUCCUAGAAGAUGUGAUCAGACAAGAGCUUCCUGCUGUAAUGUCAGACAUCAGCAGCAGAUUCAACACAGACACAUUUCCAGUAAAGCUGGACUAUAAGUUCAGGCCAGAUGAGCUUCUGAUUGAUCACUUCUGUCGGUGCUGUUGGGUUCAGUGUCCGUUCUGUGGAGUCAUCUGUACAAACACCAUUGAGAAAGAUCAUAGAGACCACAAUGCUCAAUUCCAUCGUAAUACUGGACUAUAUGGAUUGCAUUAUAAAAACACAACAAACUUGUCAAUUACCAUCUGCACAUCAGCAGUAGCCAGUGAUCAAUAUUUUCAUCCCAAUCAGUCAGAUGAAAGGUUCCCUUGGAGAGAAUACAGAAGAGCAGGAGGAGUUUAUGCAUGCUGGAGCAUCACUCCUGAUCUCUCUGAACUGCCCUACUGGAAGUGGUUUGUCUGUAGAUUCCAGAAAGAUUUGGAAAAAUACUACAAUAAAACAUUUGAGCGGAUGGGUAAGAUACCAGAUGAAUGGAAAACACAUACAAAAGAAGAAGUGUUUGGGAGUUUGAACUAAUUUAUAUGACACGGAUAAACACAUACACACACACACACACACACACACACACACACACACACACACACACACACACACACCCCUAUAAUUUUUCUCAUAUCUCAAACAAACACUAAAUGUUAUUAAAUAUUAAGUGGUUUAAAAUAUAAGGCUUAGAAUAGUAAAUUAUGGACAUGUUUUCAUAUAAAAAUAUUUUGUAGCUCUAAAUUUAGAACAAAAAUUAUUGAAUAACUAUUUAAUUAUUAAGUCAGUUAAUCAUAUUUUUUUUUUUUUUCUGUUGGACACAACAUAAUAUACUUAGCUUUUCUGUUAAGCGAGAAAUCUGAAAACACGUACCAUUAACUUUAACAGUAGGAAAAACAAAUACCAUGGAUUCCAAUGGCUAAAGGUUUCCAGCUUACAAAAAUGACAUUAAAUAAAUCAAUAAUUUAACUUUUAGAAUCUCAUUAAAGUUGAGGAUCUGAUCAAAUCACAUGACUAUCUUAAUAAACUUCAUUCACUUCUAUACAUAAAAUACUAUAACUGAUUAUUUCCACAUCUGCAGGCAUACAAGAAAUUCUUUAUACUAUAUCUAAAUAAAAAAGAGAGAUAAAGCACCAGAGUAGGCCAAUAGUGUGCAGUGACAGCAGUUUGAGCAACAAAAAACACAAUAGACCUACUCUUUCACCGUUUGCUAGAAAAUAAAACAUAUAGGAUGUAGGAUUAAUCUACAAAAAAAAAAAAAUCAUAACUAAUAAACUUAAUUUUCUCAUGCUAUUACUUACAUAAUAAUUAUCUGAGAAUAGAGAGGAAAUGUAAUAAACCAAGGGCUGAUCUGUGGCCUACAAUUAUUAAAAAUAAUACUGUAAAUACACAUAAUAUAUUCAAGAAACAAAAUGUUUUGGAUUCAGAGCUUAAUAUCUAGUGAAUGUAAUGUGAAUAAAAAGUAUUACUUUUAUGUAAAAUUCAAAAUAAGGUUUACAUUAGAGCACAAUGCAAAAUGCAGUAAUGGAUGAUGAUCUGACAAUGAAGAAUGUACAAGUGAGAUAACCAUUCAUAAUCUUGGAGGAUCUUCAUCUAUAAUAAUCACAUUCACAUGCCUGUGAUUCUGUGUUACUUUUAAAUGUUGUAGUUUUUAAUGGAGAUGCUGUAUCUUACAUGUUGGCAUGUUUGGCUGCACAGGUGAUGGCAUUUUGGGGACAUUCGAAUAAUCAUCUGUUCUCAUUAGAAUGCUAAGAACAGAUGUAAUUCUUUCUGGUGGACAAAAGCACUAGUUGAGCCAUCUAUAUAAGUCUGGUCGCCCAGUUUCCACACACCAGAGAUACAUAAUCUGUGCUAAAAUUAUCAGUUGUGUAAAUGACAACAUUGAACAUCUGAACCUGAGAAACUGAAAAAUCAGACAAUAGUGAAAAACUGUUCAACAAACUAGCUUUUGGACAGGCAACUACUUCUACUCGUGAAUAUGUUUCCUAUGUGUACAUAUGUCAAAUGUGCUUAUGCUUUUUUAUUUGAUUAUCUCUGAAUGCACAGAGCUACAAGAUUAAUUGUUUGGACUGACGUACCUCCUUUAUCAAAACUGAUCUCCUGCUUGAUGUGUCUGUUAUUAUAUGCGUCAUAAAUGGUGCAGAUGACUGUUUUUCAAUUAAACCACUUGUUUCAUAUUAACAGAGUUUCUGUCAGUUAUUUUGUAAUGUAAUGUAAUGUAAUGUGUAUUUAUAUAGCGCAUUUAUUGUGUAUGGCCAUACACCCAAAGUGCUUCACAAUCAUGAAGAGGGUCUCUCCACACCACCACCAGUGUGCAGCUCCACUUGGAUGAUGCGACGGCAGCCACAGGACAACAGCGCCAGUGCACUCACCACACGCCAGCUAUUGGUGGAGUAGAGAGACAGUGAUCGAGCAAAUUCGGUGGAAGGGGAUGAUUGGGAGGCCAUGAUCGUAAGGGCCAAUAGAGGGACUUUGGCCAGUACACCAGGGUUACACCCCUGCUCUUUCGCAGAGAGUCAGGACCUCAGUUGAACAUCUCAUGCAAAAGACAGCAUCCACUGACAGUCUAGUGUCCCCUUCACUCUUACUGGGGCAUUAGGACUCACACAGACCACAGGUUGAGCGCCCCCUGCUGGCCUCACUAACACAACUUCCAACAGCAACCUAGUGUUCCCUAGUAGUCUCCCAU